RNAcentral lists this ribosomal RNA (904 nucleotides) under uncultured bacterium. RNAcentral's name for it is "bacterial SSU rRNA". It matches the Rfam family "Bacterial small subunit ribosomal RNA", at positions 21 to 901 of the family's 1533-position model. The record is from RNAcentral.
GGCUCAGAACGAACGCUGGCGGCGUGCCUAACACAUGCAAGUCGAGCGAGAAAGCCCGCAAGGGUGAGUAAAGCGGCGCACGGGUGCGUAACACGUGGGUAAUCUGCCCUGAAGUCCGGAAUAACUCGCCGAAAGGCGUGCUAAUGCCGGAUAAGACCACGGGAGCUUCGGCUCCUGCGGGAAAAGGUGGCCUCUGUACACAAGCUAUCACUUCAGGAUGAGCCCGCGGCCCAUCAGCUCGUUGGCGGGGUAAUGGCCCACCAAGGCUACGACGGGUAGCUGGUCUGAGAGGACGAUCAGCCACACUGGAACUGAGACACGGUCCAGACUCCUACGGGAGGCAGCAGUGGGGAAUCUUGCGCAAUGGGCGAAAGCCUGACGCAGCAACGCCGCGUGUGUGAUGAAGGUCUUCGGAUCGUAGAGCACUGUCGCGAGGGACGAAUAAGGGGCGGGCUAACAUCCCGUUCCGAUGACGGUACCUCGAGAGGAAGCACCGGCUAACUCUGUGCCAGCAGCCGCGGUAAUACAGAGGGUGCAAGCGUUGUUCGGAAUUAUUGGGCGUAAAGCGCGUGUAGGCGGCUUUGUAAGUUGGGUGUGAAAGCCCUCGGCUUAACCGAGGAAGUGCGCCCAAAACUGCAUGGCUUGAGUACCGGAGAGGGUGGCGGAAUUCCCGGUGUAGAGGUGAAAUUCGUAGAUAUCGGGAGGAACACCAGCGGCGAAGGCGGCCACCUGGACGGAUACUGACGCUGAGACGCGAAAGCGUGGGGAGCAAACAGGAUUAGAUACCCUGGUAGUCCACGCUGUAAACGAUGAGCGCUAGGUGUUGUGGGUGUUGACCCCUGCAGUGCCGCAGCUAACGCAUUAAGCGCUCCGCCUGGGGAAGUACGGCCCGCAGGCUAAAACU